GCUGGGUGUCAUUAACAAUGAAUUUCCCACU
This 31-nucleotide non-coding RNA is filed under the name Rattus norvegicus (Norway rat). Lineage: Eukaryota; Metazoa; Chordata; Mammalia; Rodentia; Muridae. The record is from RNAcentral.